UUCUCAACCCAGAAUCUUCAGGAUCAAACUGGGUAACCAGUGGUUUUCCUUUCCAGAACCAGAAGCACUUGUAGGAAAGUUGAACAGGUUAUCUGGGAACAAAGCAGGACAAGUCUGGGCACCUGAAGGAUCUACUGCUUUCAAGUGUCUGCUUUCAGCAAGGUUAUGUGCUGCUCUCCUGAGCAACAUCUCUGACUGUGAUGAAACAUUCAACUACUGGGAGCCAACACACUACCUCAUCUAUGGGGAAGGGUUUCAGACUUGGGAAUAUUCCCCAGCAUAUGCCAUUCGCUCCUAUGCUUACCUGUUGCUUCAUGCCUGGCCAGCUGCAUUUCAUGCAAGAAUUCUACAAACUAAUAAGAUUCUUGUGUUUUACUUUUUGCGAUGUCUUCUGGCUUUUGUGAGCUGUAUUUGUGAACUUUACUUUUACAA
This 432-nucleotide long non-coding RNA is filed under the name Homo sapiens (human). RNAcentral describes it as "non-protein coding lnc-ALG9-3:1". Lineage: Eukaryota; Metazoa; Chordata; Mammalia; Primates; Hominidae. The record is from RNAcentral.